UGUGUAGGCGGUUUUCUAAGUCUGGUGUGAAAUCUCCCGGCUCAACUGGGAGGGUGCGCCGAAAACUGGAAGGCUAGAGUACUGGAUGGGUAAGUGGAAUUCCUGGUGUAGCGGUGAAAUGCGUAGAUAUCAGGAGGAACACCUGUGGUGUAGACGGCUUACUGGGCAGUAACUGACGCUGAGACACGAAAGCGUGGGUAGCAAACA
This 207-nucleotide ribosomal RNA is filed under the name uncultured bacterium. RNAcentral's name for it is "partial 16S ribosomal RNA". It matches the Rfam family "Bacterial small subunit ribosomal RNA", at positions 568 to 774 of the family's 1533-position model. The record is from RNAcentral.